AACCAUCCACAUCAGAGGCUGCACUGACGCUUUCUUCAUCUGGCUAAUGGACAACUACAAGAUUAUGGCUGGACUGUUCUUAGGGAUCCUUCUGCCUCAGUUCUUCGGCGUGAUAGUCAGUUGGCUGUAUAUCACACGUGUUGAAGAUGCCAUCAGUGAGUAUGGUCAAUACAUGGAUGGGCUACUGGCAUCGAACUCGCAGGAAAGAUCAGCCAAAAGGCAUGGCCGUGUGUCCAAAUGGUUUAAAUGUAUGCCGGAUAUUGAUUGACAGAAUCAACCAAAAAGGACCAAAUGGACUCCAACACUCGGUGUUUCCUAACUUGUGCCAAGGCAUCUGUGUAGUUUGACUUUGAACGGUUUUCUACUCUCAUCUACAUUUUUUUUUUUUUUGAUAGUAAGAAUGAAUCAUUCAGCAACUGUAAUACCCACUGUCGAGGAGUUCCCAAUUUUUUUCAUGCUCAGUCAACUAAAGGCAAGCAGAUGUGGGAGUUGACUGACUUUGGUACAACUCUGAAAUAUGCUAUUUCCAACACAUACCAAAUGUUAUUAAGCUACUUUGCCUUAUCUCAGGGAUAAAGAUAAAAACCAGUGCAACCAGUUUUACAUGUAGUUAGUCCUGUCACAGUAUGCAACCAACAGGCCAGUGAUAACAA
Thalassophryne amazonica is the source of this 653-nucleotide long non-coding RNA. RefSeq lists it as uncharacterized. NCBI's taxonomy places the organism in Eukaryota, Metazoa, Chordata, Actinopteri, Batrachoidiformes, Batrachoididae. The record is from RefSeq and is a predicted model, not a curated record. The transcript is spliced from 2 exons.